Molecule: long non-coding RNA, 3183 nt
Organism: Zingiber officinale
Lineage: Eukaryota; Viridiplantae; Streptophyta; Magnoliopsida; Zingiberales; Zingiberaceae
Exons: 3
Source: RefSeq, a predicted model, not a curated record
GCUUGAGAUCAUCUUCCCGCAGAUUGGAGAGACAACGGCCAAGAGCGGCGAUGUGGCGGUUGUGGCGUUCUUGAAGCUGGGCCAUGAGUGCCACGCCGAUCUCAGGCUCCAAAUCAUGGCUGCUGUCUCGUCCUAGUCCUCCUCCUCCUUUGGUUGCCUGCCCUGCCCUUAUCAUUGUUCAUCGCAUCCACUUCCAGUUCAACGACUAACUCCUUGGAAUUCUCCUCCUCCUCCUCCUCCUCCUCCUCCUCUCACUCUCUCUCUUCUGAAAGAACGGUAUGAUAUUUUCUGUCGCAUUGCUGAUUUACUCAGCACCUGUUCUCUGUCGCGGAGCCAAUUUUACUUUAUAUUCCUCCAGAGGCAUUGAUGUAGAGUAGGCCAGUGGAAGGCAACGAUGAGGUUUCUUGAUACAGGAGCUGUGGUGGGAGCUUCCUUUGCUUCUUUGCUUUGUACUUGUGAUUUUGUUAAUUUAAUUCAUGUAGUUAGUUCUGAUCUGCACUUCACUGAAAACCUGUGGUUGAAAAAAAAAAAUCGCCUUCGGUAUGCGAAUCCAUAAUCUACAUGCAUAAAUCUUCCUCUUGUAUUCUGUUACGAUGUCUGUUGAGAAGUUUGGAGAAACUUUCUGUCCAAUUGGCGUUUUCUUUCAUUGCUCAGUUCAAAUUAAUCAGAGAAGAGAUCACGUCUGUGAUCGAUUGUAUGCUUUCUAAAUGUUAAAUCUUUUUUUAUAUCAUUCCUCUUUUUUUUUUUUAAUUCAAUUUUCAUUUCGGAGUCACGCAAGUACCCUCAAAUAUUAAUAAUUUUUAUUUUAAUUUCUAAUAUCCAUAUAUCCAUUGUAGUAUUCUCACCUCUGCCAUAUAAAAACUCGAUUAAUCAAAUUGCCACCAGAAACUUAUUUUGAUAGUAUUUUCUGCUGCAGAUGCUUUUAGUAAGCCUAAGCAUCCUCUAUUUUUAUAACUUGAACCUUAGAGCUUUUUCUGAUAGUAUCUUUGACAUGAGUGGUUCAUUCUUUGAUUCUGCAACUAAAAUUCUUUUCUUGUAUAGCAUGGCAGUUUCAUGUUAUUCUCUGCCACUUGAGCUCCAGGAAUAUCCUGGUGAUAUAUUAUACCAUUAUCAUGCAAUUGGGCUUUUCCUCUAUUUCAGGUCAGGGGUUGCUCCUGCAGUAACUAAAACCUACAGUUGAUGUGCUUGGGAUAGGAGAGUAUUUAGGAAAGCAUUUACUGGAAAAUUUGGAUCAGUAUCUUGGAAUUUCUGGACCUAGAUUUAUGGGGUCAGCAACUGCACAUAGAUAUCUUUGGAAGUAGGUCCCAGCUGCUGCCCCUCAUGCUGAUUUCUAUACAUUGUGCUGUUAGGUUGAUAAGUGCUGUGGACUUUUAAUUAUAGUCUAUGUAGCAUGCUUCCCUUCUUGUAGAGAGAAUUGUAAUAUGGCCUUUAUAUUUUCCUUCCUUUUGUUUAACAUUCAAUUAUAAACUGACUCUAGGCUUAGAUUUUGUUAGAUAAUUAGAAAAAUCCUAACUGAACCUUCAAAGAAGUGGAGGCACACACCAAUAGCAGGCCUUCCAAUUAGUUUAUUCUGAAGGGAAAUUUGGUAAUCAAUAUCAAUAACUUUGAUGAUUAGAUAAAGGUAAAACAGUCAUCUGCAACCUAAGAAACAAGGAUAGUUUCUCUAAGCAAAGAAAGAUAAAUAGGAGAAAAAAACACCAAGUCUUCUUUGAUGUUUGACAUAUUUCUAUCCACUAUAGUUGAUUCAACCUUAGUUCACUUCAUAGACUUGUAAUUUCAAUAUAAUUACAUAUCAACUUCAACUGUGUGGCACUAGUAAGCUCAUUCAAGAUAGUAAAGUCUUUCUUCUCUCUUUUUAUCCCUAAUUGCUUACUGAUUAAUGAUCACUUUGUGGGAAGGAGGAGACCACUGAUUUGACAUAUAAUUUGUGGUUAUUUUGAUGCUUAAAUUUCUGCAUAAUCCAAAUGGUUUAGGUGAGUGUGGGGUCAUCCAAUUAUCUCUAAUUAUCUAAUGCACCAAAAUGUUAAAAGUUCCAAUAACUGGCUAUGAGUAUUAUAGGUUAGGCACCCAAAUAAUGCCAUUAUUCAUGAAAAUCUUUGGCACCAAAAGAAAAUUUGCCUAACACCGGAAUUCCUAUCCUGUUAUAUGAAAUGAUUGUUAAAAAAAGUAUUGUUUUAAAAAUUGAUUUUUGAAGGUUUUUCUUAAUAGUGUGCUAUGAUGACUUUAUUUCAAGAGUCAACUGCAGCAAUAACUUCCACUCUGCUGCUGAUCAAAUGCUGAAACUAUAAAGUACCUGUUAUUCCUCAGUAUUGCACUUAGACCCUGUCCUUUCACUAAGCUUGAGACAACCUCAACAGAGAGCAUGCCUUGCUUCCUCCCUUUGUUCUCGUAUUCUUUUCCUCUGCAGAAAAAGUUUUCCUAGAAGGAACCACAAUAAGAAUGACAACAAAUAAUAUCCACUAGAGAACAGAUCAUCAUUACAGUAUAUGGAGGAGAGCAAAUACCUAAAUCGACCCUGCUAAUGAAGUUAAUAUCAGACCCCUCAUAGCUCAUUGAUUUGAUCAUACUGUUGCUGAUCAAGUUUUCCUGUAAAAGAAGCCUUGUUGGAGCAAUCUAGUAGCAAAUUAGAGGGGAGACAUGAAUGACAAUGUGGAAUCAUGCUUUUGGUGAAAAAAGAGCAUUCUUAUAUCAUUUUUGUGCCCCACUAACUAACAUUUGCCAUGACAGAAAAGAAAGGCUGGUUCCUUCUGCAGUGGACUCAUGAUGGCAUCCAGUGGUUUAACUUGAACCAAGUAGAUAUGUCCUCAAGCCAAGGAUUUGAUGAGGAUGCAGCAGCUCAAAUAUCUCAUCGGGAGAAUAUUUUAGAUGCAGUCUCUGAUCACAAAACCAAUGUGAUGAUGGAACAUCCCCAAAAGAAAAUUAUUCAUUUUCCAAGGAAGACUCUAAGCUUUUGCCAUAUCUUUCCUUAACAGAAGUGAUGACUGUUUGGUUCAAAUACCCAUUAAGUGAGCAUGGAACUUAAAUUUGAUGAAUAUUAUGAGUUUUGGGGGGCAUAUAUAUCUUAUUCUUGGAGGUUCAUAUUGUAUUGUUUUUAUAUAUUCUUGAAGGCAGUAAAUUCAGAUUUGAUCAGGUAUUUACAGAUAGUGUGGAUGGAUAUGUACAAAUUACUCUCCAUGAGUAUGA